Nannospalax galili (Upper Galilee mountains blind mole rat) is the source of this 71-nucleotide small nucleolar RNA. Lineage: Eukaryota; Metazoa; Chordata; Mammalia; Rodentia; Spalacidae. The record is from RefSeq and is a predicted model, not a curated record.
AAAUGGUGAACUCACUCAAAAUAGCUGGAGUUACUGACAGAUCGGUGGUAGUGGGUGAUAUUUUUUUAAAG